RNAcentral lists this long non-coding RNA (36361 nucleotides) under Malus domestica (apple). Its description in RNAcentral is "long non-coding RNA (MDOM_LNC004796)". Lineage: Eukaryota; Viridiplantae; Streptophyta; Magnoliopsida; Rosales; Rosaceae. The record is from RNAcentral.
UCCUACAUUAAAACAAGGCAGAUAUGAUUAGAGUGCACGUGUGUUUGCUUGUGCGUGCAUGCUGAGAGAUAUAUACCCGACACCAUGGCCUAGGAAGUCCAGAAGAAGUAAGGAGGAUAUUUUUAGAGUCCCUAUCACUGUGAUGGUCGGGUUUCCAUAUUGAUCCCAUUGAUUUUGGCGAAGUUAGAGUACAUGAAGGUUCCAAUAUCUGUACAGAGCGUAUGUCUUCAGUGCACUGUGAAUUCAAAUAUAAAGUCAGUAUAAUGAUCCCAGGUUACUUAAAAGUGACAAGUACUUGCAGAAACUAAGGACCUUACUAUGUUUCCACUAACCUCGUUGUAAAUUUCUAGAUCAUCCAUACAUAAUGCGUUGUUUGGAUCCACAUUGAUAUACUCUCCGUUGCAAUUAGUUUCAAGUGACUAGCAAAAUUAUGAAACGUUGUAACUUGAGAGACAUUGUUGUUUUUAAGACAACUAUAGAUAUAACUUAAGAGCCAAAUCCAACAUUUUGAUCAAAUGUAGUUCAGACUAAUCUGAAUAGCCACAAUCAAAUCUCUACAUGAAACCAACAAGAGGCUAUUUCACCUGGUACAGUUCAUCUGAUAUAAGUGCUUUUAGGUAAGCAAAUAAAAUUCUGGAAUCCCCAUCUUUGUCCAAAUCUGUCACUGGAUUGCCAAGCACAUAUCCCUGCAUCCAACAUAGAGAUCAUUAUAUUGUUCAGCAUAGUGUUAAGACCCCGAGGCAUAUGAUCAGGAACUAAUUUACUAUAGCAUAACAGAAGUCAUUCAUAUUCUAGUUGCAGAAGAUGUACUUUGAUAUUUAUUGGCGGCACAUUGUCAUCAUGAUUACCUACACAUAAGAAACAAACAAAACAACUGCAGACCAAUACCUCAUAUGCAUGUGAGACUGAAUUAAUUAAAGGUCGAAUGUACAGAGGAAGAACUAUGCCCGACGUGGUUAUGGUAAGUAGCUUACCAUCGGAUAUUUUCUGAACGAUAAUGGGAACAACUAUGCCCGAAUAAGAAUCGCCAGCAACAUAGAGUUGAUUGUUGAAGAACUUAGGGUGGUCCAUAAGCCACUGCACCAAUACACGAAUGUAGCUAAAAACCUUGUAUGUUCUCAAACAAAUUAAUGAAUACUCCAUGUUGGUGGCUAAAUAUAUCCUCACCUUUCUUAGAAAUUCAUACGUUUGUGCUGCUGAUAAAGUGUCACUCAUAUUAGCGUACCCUCUCCAAGUUUUUGCGUAUGAGAAUCCGGUGCCGACAGGUGCAUCUAAAAAUAUUAUGUUGGCAACCUGAAAUUCUUGGGUUAUUGACAAUAUUUUUAUAAAAUCCUGAAUAAAUCAAAGCUGCAGCAUUUGAUAUCAAAUACAAAAACACACACAUUUUGAAGGCAAUUGAAUUAGUCUCACACCUUUGUCCAUGAGUAUGGAUUCAACUUGAACUGUGGCUUGUUGCCAAUGGAAUUUGCGUAGUCAAAGGAUAGUGGACCUAAAACAAAGUAAAAACGAUUACAAAAUAAAGUUGUUUACAAUAAUCAAGUUUUGAAUAAAAUUACUUGCACCAGACAAAAUCUUUUGAAUAAUGUUCAAAAUUGUUGCAAUUGGAAAUUUGGGAGUAAUAUGUGUUCAAUUAACACCUGGCUAAACCCUUUGAAUUACAAAACUCCUACUUAUAAACGCAUAGCCCACACAGUUCAAGAAAAUAAAAUUCAUUCAUCAAACUAUAGAGAAAUUGGAUUAAAUAAUGAAAUUACACAUUUCAAUUUCUGAAACGGUCUGUUUUUUAGAAUUUUUAUUGGUAUGUUGUUGAUAUAUGAUUGAUAAUUGAGAUAGUUUAGUUGCGGUCCCUAGUUCUUAAUUGUUAUAGACUCAAACCUUAUGCAUUUUAGGUUUUUUAUUGAAGUUUCUCUCAUGCCACAUAAAUGACAUAAUAAUAAAAGAGAUGCAAUAAUAUACUAAUAAAUACUGAACUGUUUUUUUUGGGUGUCAUUCACAUCCUUUCCUAUUUGUGCAGUCACGGUUAAACCACGUCAACAUUUUAUAUUAAUUUUUUUUAUAGAGAUAAUAAGACAAAAAGCAAUAAGAAUAUAAAAUGUUAACGUAGCUUAACCGUAACCGCACAAAUAGGAGGGGAUGAAAAUGACACCCAAACAGGAGGGUAGACAAUCUGCCUCCAAAAUUGACAUCACAAUUUUUUCGCACUGGACUUCUCGCCUACGUCACACACAACCUUAAUUUCAUAUCACCAAUGUCUUAAAAUAUAAAAUAAUAUUGAAUUAUAUCCUCUGAAAUGAUGCAGACAGUGAAUUAAUAAUUAAGCAAGUACCUAAAUUUUCAUAUAUGAGGCCAGAAAACGCAGAACAACCGGGACCUCCAGUGAGCCAAAGCACAAGAGGAUCAUAUUCUGGACUCCCUUCAGACUCAAUGAAGUAAUAAAAUAGAUGCACAUCAUCCAUGUUGCCUACUCCCACGUACCUUUUGUAUAACAAAUUCAAAUUCGUAUAAUUUCAUAGUCAUCUUCCGUAUUAAAGUAACAUAAUUGACAGUGCUCAAGUUUAUUUUUACAGAGUAGAGAAGAUAAUAGUUUUGGAAAGAAACAAGAAGUACCUACGUACCCAGUUUCAAGUUUGAAGGGGAGGUUACCGGGAAAGCCCGGUAGGGCGGUGAUGAUGUUUGACGUUGAUGCAACAUUGGUGUUCAAAAGAGCCAUAAGAAGAAGUGCUUGUGGCAACAUGGUGAAGAUGCUUUACUUGCUGCAAGUCUCAUUUCAUCACAUAUAUAGGAUGUCAUUAUCUCUGUGCGGGGCCAACGUUGUACGUACCACGUAGUAACAUAGGGAACGAUAGGUGACAUGAAUUUACCAAAGACAAAUUUUAGGGUUCUUUAGAUAUAGACCCUUGUAACUCUUAUUUCCUAUAUAAAAACCCACCUAAUUAUAAACAUUCAAAUAAAACCCAAAUUUAAAAGUGAUUGCCAUGUAGGAAAGUAAUUGACCUAUUAAUAUAAAAUAUUUACAACUUGUACCACAACAUUCAAAAUUUCCCUAAAUAUUAUUACUCACCUUAAUUACAAUGAACAAAUAAUUUAUUGCAUAUUAUUACCCCUAACACACACACACACACACAGAUAUAUAUAUAUAUAUAUAUAUACACAUAUAUACGUUCAAAUGUGUAUAGUACUAUCACAAGCUCAAUAUAUAUAUAUAUAUAUAUAUAUAUAUAUGUAGGUAUGCACAGUACUACAUAUAUGAUCAAACAUAUUAUACUAAUUAAUCGACCUAUAUGUAAAUUUAUGAUGAGCAAAUAACAUAUAUUUUGUAUGUAUCAUCAUAUAUAUUGGGCACAUUUUAUUAUUAUAUGUACAAAAUAAUAGGUAAAAUAGUAUUGAAUAAAAUAAUAAUAUUUUUUUAUGUAGGUACAUUAUUUUGCAUACAUUGGGUUUGCUUCAUUACGUAGGUAAAUUAUUUUGCAUGUAUUUUACAUAUAGUGGGGAAAUUAUUUUGCUUUUUUUAAGCAAUCUAACAUUUUUAAAAUUCGAAUAGUAGGUGCACUGAAUCAAAUAACAUUUUUUAAAUUAUUUUGCAUGAAUUUUUACGUAUACCAUGCAUGUUUUUUUUUUUGUUAUAUAUGUGUCACAUCCCGGCCCGGGCCCCCACCAAAUCUCGGGCUCGACUCCGUCGUAGCACGAUAUUGUCCGCUUUGGGCCCCAAUCACGCCAUCACAGUUUUGUUUCUGGGAACUCACACAAGAACUUCCCAGUGGGUCACCCAUCAUGGGAUUGUUCUCGCACAAACUCGCUUAACUUCGGAGUUCCGAUGGAACCCGAAAUCAGUGAGUUCCCAAAAGGCCUCGUGCUAGGUAGAGAUGAGAAUAUACAUAUAAGGCUUACACGAUCCACUCCCCUGGGCGAUGUGGGAUGUUACAUAUGUGUGUGAAAUAAUUUACCUACAUUUAUAUGUAAAAUAUAAUUUGUUGACUUAACUAAGCAUGUAUUAUUACAUAUAUUAGGCAUGUUUUGUUGUUAUUAUAUAUUAGGCAAUAAAUUUAUUAUUUAUUAUUUUCGUAAAAUCAUUAAUUUUCCCUUACAAUCUAUAUGGAACUAAUUGUGUACAUCAAACAUUCAAAUAGGGGUGUUUUGGGCAUCAAAAUUUUUUAAAUGUGUAAAGUAAAAUAUAAUAAAUGAAUUUGCUGAUGUGGAAUCUAGUUAAUGGGUUUUAUUUGAGUAAAAAACUUAUGACGGGUUUUAUGUGGAGAAAAUUAAAUUUCAGGGUCUAAAGUCAUAUUUUCUAAAUAUCUUUCUACACCCAAUUUACUUUCUACACCCAUAUUACUUUUAAUUAAAUUCUCAAUAUCUCUUUAAACCCAACUUACUACCUAAACUACCCUCACAAACCAAAUUCAAUAUAUAAAUUUAUCUUUACACCCAUUUAGAAAAUAAAAACCCAACAGUAGAUUUCACUCAAUCCUUUAUGGAAAAUAGCAUCCGUUCAAUGCCAGCCAUGACAUGCACUUGAAGUGUUCAUUUUUUACCUCACCACAACCGAAAGAGAUAAAGAUUAUCUUAAACUCUUUGCCUUCCACUCUAAGCAUUUCAUAAAGUCACGUUCUUGCAAUGCUUAGGGGUAAUUGCAAGGCCUACACCAAUUUGUAGAGAAGUAGAUGCACAGUUUCUUCCCAUUAAAUGACGAUAAGGGUACCUAAUAAUCUCGUAAUCAAAACAAGAUUAUGUUUUAAUUAUCAUAAUCAAGAUAAAAAAAUUCAACUCUAAAAUUGAAGGCAUAUUUUUUCAUGCUAUGAACCUACUUGAACCUCAAGUUCCUAUAUUUUAAUGAAAUCAAAACAUUUUUGACAUCCAAACAACCGAAUUAAAUUAUGAAAAACAAUUUUGAUUGAAGCAAGAGAAAAAAUGGGAACCUUUUGGAGACUACAUACAUUUGUUUCACCGGAUAGAAGGAUCUCAAGACCUUUAAAUUAAAGAACAAUAGCUAUAAUGCUGCUAUGCACUGCCAUCAAAACUACAAGCAAAGUAUAGCCUCCACCCUUCACGAAUGAAAGGAGAAGAAAGCGUGACAUUCACACAAGUUGCUAGACUUUAAAAUUUUAAAUCCCAUAUAUAUGUUUUUGCUAGUAAUUAUGCUUUAGAAAAUGUGCUGAAUUUUUUCCUAAAUCCUAAUAAAAAUUGAAAUCAAACGAAAAAAAAACUUGCAAAAAUCGAUAUAUACUUUAGUUGGAAGAUUCAAAACUUCUAAAUCACCAUCCAUCGUUCAAAAAGAGCUUGUUUUUCUCUAUGAAAGCGUCUUAGGUUUUAGUUAGAAUGAAUGUAGGAUAAAGAUUCCAUGAUGGUAGGGUUUGAUUAUUAGAUGUGGGUUUAUUGAUAAAUUUUAGUUUAUUGUUAAUUUCAUCUUGUAGCUAGUGGUAAUUAUACAGUAGGGUAAAAAGGAUAAUUCACAUUCAAAGUUGAAGUUAGGUGUAGAGAAAGGUUUUAUGGAUUCAAAUAAAAUUUCCCUUUACCAAAAUGUUCGGUUUGUCCUAUUGGGCUAUUUAAAUGGCUAUAGUAUGUGCAUGUGGGCACAUAAGCAUUUCAGCAUUCAUGUCCAUCAUCGUGUGAUUCAUCAGCUAGAUUCAGAAUGUGCUGGUGGAAUACGGGUAUGAAAUUCUUUUCCAAUUAAUUGAUCACCUCGUGGUGAUUAUUCAUACUAUAUAUUAAGAGAAUUCUCUCUAUCAAUUACAGAGGUUUAAAAUGACGGUUGUAACCUUUAAGUACUAGAAGUUUCUAAUAUUUAUUUCAAAAAGUAAAGAGUAUUAUAAUUUUAUUUUGAUUUUUAACCCCACUUUCUCUUCCGCACUUCCAAUUUUGUCUCUGUAUUGUUUACUACAGUAACUCUGCCCGGGCUAAUAAAAAAUGCAUCAUUUUAAGCAUACGUAUAAGUUAGUAGUAGAAUAGUAGGUGAAACCCUUUCCAUCAUCAUAGAGAGAGAGAUUGACAGAUGGACAGAAGAUUAGUUGGAACCUCGUGAUCAUCAGACAAGGUAUAAGUUUACAAGGACCACGCGUAUGUGUAGCCAUCAAAACAUGUCACAAAAUUGAUUUGUUUUCGGAUCCAACUAAUGGUCAUCAACCAACAGUUGGCCCAAGCCACCGGCUUUGUGAACAUGUGUAACCAACCUUCAGAAGUUAGGGUUCAAAAAUGUAAAACUUAAAGCUUUGUUUUUUUGUUAUGUCCCUUGAAAUUUGAUUUUGAUCACACUUUGUCUCUGAAAUUCAAAAGUCAUCACUUUACUUCUUGAAAUUCAAAAUUUACUCCAAAUUGCCUUGUUUUCAUUAAAUUCGUCACACAAUCCGUUAAAUUUGCUUAUGUGGUUUUAAAGCUAUGUAUAUGGCAACAUGUGUAGACUACCAUCCAAUAAAACUAGGGGGUUUUAACGAAACACUCCUGGUACUGUACACUUUUAACGAAAAUGAUAUUUUUACUCUAAAAAGUCAUUCAUGAUAUUAUUCACUUACAACACCUUUUUGUCAUUUUGAUUAAAACUCAAAGUUUCAAGUCAUUUUCAUUAGUUUUCCUAUAAAAUUAUGCAACAUGGGAAACUAAUUAUCAUUUUUUAUUUUUUAUUUCUUUUUUUACUUCUUUUUUUACUUGAAUUGUUGUACCCCUCCCAUCCUUUCUCCUAUUCAUUUGUCUUCCUUCGUUCUCUCUCGACCAUUUUGCCUGUACAAAUCAAAGUUCUAAAAGGUGCUAGGCGCUAGUUGGGCGGUGGGCAGGGCCUCAAUGCCUAGGAGUCUAGGUAGGACCUAGGUGGAUUUUUUUUUCAAUUUUAAUCAAGUUUAUUAUAUCACAUAAAAAAUGUAUAUUUAUACUUAAAAAAAAUACAUAAUUGUGUUGGAAUGCAUAAAUUGCAAAAUUGUUUUGUGGAUGCAAAUUUCGGUUGUCCUCUCCUUUGACGAAAAUGCACCUGCAAAAUAAUAACACCUAAGAUUAAGUCCAAAAGCCUUACGCGCCCACAAUGAACUAGGGGAGGGCUUUGGCCGAAAUCUCCGUUGUCAAAGUUAGAAUUCUGAGAAGAAUGUGUUUUGGAGUUUGUGGGUAGCAAAUGGCUUAACUUUUUAGUGGGAGAAUAGGGCUAUUCAUAGGGGAGUGGCCGGCCUUAUUUGGAGAAUAGUGGCCGGCCACAUAUGGUGAAAUUGUGAGUAUAAUUACAAAAUAUUUUAUGAAAUAAUAUCUUGCAAUUAACUUGGCAAUUAAUCUUAAAUUGAAUAGCAAAAUUGGGAGUUACCUUUGAGUGAGGAUUUGAUGAGGAGUGAUGAGAGGGAUUUGAAUAAAUAUCAUUUGAUCACCUUUCACUCUUCCUUGAUUGAGCCAUUAUUGUUCGUUAGAUGCGCGUGAGAAUCCCGGUGUGCCUCGAAGGUAAUUUUGUCCUUCUAUACUCAAAAGUCCAUGUGUCACCUCCAUAAUUUACUUUAUUAUUUUUUGCUCCACAAAUGCCCACACACCUAUUGAGCUGCUCACAAGAAAGGGCCAAUGGUGUAGAGAUCUUCCCUUGCUUUAGGAAACAUAAGAUUGUUUCUUAUUUUGAUGUAAAUUCCCAAAUUAAUUAGAUAUUAGAUCCUUCUAAGAAAGGGAAAUAAAUCACUUCCAAAGUCUAUUUAAGUAUACCUUAAGUAGAUGAUUAAAUCAACUUCAGAGAGCAAUUUAUUCUACCAUAUAAGAGAAAGAAAGCUAGAGGAUAUUUGUUCCCUAUCCCCUAGCAAUCUUCUACAUUUGCCCAUGCAAAGGACCGCAUUUCGUUGCUUUCUUCGUCUUCACACCGCACCAAGGUAAGAAAAAAUUUAAUUUUUCCUUGUUUUCGUAAUUUUUUGGAGCCUUAGGGCUUGAAAUUUAGCUCGACGGAGGUCGAGAAUGUGUGAACAAUGGUUGGGAAGCCACGACAUGACCGCUGCCGUGGGGCUGCUUCAUCGGCUCGGUGAAGCGGCGGCUGGCUGAGCCAGGUGCGACUCGGCUUGGGCUGAGUUGACGGGGCGCUGGGACACUAGGUUGGACCUGGCACGGGCCAGGCACGUGUGCAAUGGGCUGGACCAAGAAGGUGUGUGAAGCGUUUGGCUAGAUUGGGCCCAACAGACUUGCGGGGGCAUCUGCCCUUCUUCUAGCUAAAUUGGGCCGAGGGAGAAAGGACCAAGCCUUGAGGAUGUAAGUUUGAAAUGCCUUGAGUUGCUUUUGUACCUUCUCUAAGUAUUGCGUCAUCUUUGGAUGUUUUGUCAUGUACUCUCUAAUAGUCUUACUGGUGAUUAGCUAGGAAUCAGAAUAAAUUACAAGCUUUUUCAUCACCAAGAGUGAUUGCCUGCUCAAGCAUCAAACCAUCUAAGGUGACAAGAACCACUCCUGCUCCCGAGCCCUUAUAGUUGGAUGCGUUGUUGACGUGCAAAUGCCAAAAGUCUCCAUGGGUGAAGCAGGAAUGGCUAUGGCGUGCUCAGUUGUCUUGGGGGCAUUGUUGGGUCGCUCUGUUGCGUUGCCCAGGCUAGGCGUGAAUUCUACUAUGAAUUUUGCCAAGGCUUGGGCCUUUAUCGCCGUACGGGGUCAGAAAACUAAGCCGUGUUGGCCAAGUUCCAACGCCCAUUUCAUUACUCGUUGAGAAGCAUCUGGACUAUGUAGGAUUAAUCGUAGAGGAUACUAAGUCAUGAUGAUGACUGUAUGAGCUUGAAAAUAUGGUUUGAGCUUCCAAGCCACAAUAACUAACGCCAAAAUUAAUUUCUCGAUCUUCGGAUAUCUGAUUUCCGCAUGGAGAAGAGCUUUAGAAGUGUAGAAUACCAGCAGUUGGGCCCUCAUCUCUUUUUGUAUGAGGGCAGAACUUACGCCUACUUUUGAAACUGCCAAGUAAAUGUACAAGUUCUCCGCUGCUUCCGACUUGGAUAGUAAAGGAGGUGAUGUGGAAUACUUCUUCAAAUCUUAGAAAGCUCUUUCACACUCAUCAUCCCAUCUAUCUCGUGGUGCCCUCUUUAUUGCUUUGAAAAAAGGCUUACAUUGAUCGAUGGACCACGAAAGGAAACGGUUGAGCGCAGCUGCUUGUCCGAUCAAGCUUUGGAUCUCCUUCAAGGUAGUUAGAGACUUUAUCUUUAGGAUUGCUCAGAUCUGCUUGAGAUGUGCUUCGAUUCCUCGUUGGUUUACUAAGUACCCAAAGAAUCUGCCUGAUGAUACUCCGAAUGUGCAUUUGGCGGGAUUAAGUUUCAAAUUGUACUUUCUAAGGAUGUCAAAAGUUUUUCCAAGUUCCCAAUGUGAUCUGAUCGCUACUUUCCCUUCACCAUGAUGUCGUCGACAUAGACCUCCAUGGUUACUCUAAUUUGCUUCUUAAACAUCAUGUUUACCAAUCAUUGGUAAGUGGUUUCUGCAUUCUUGAGGCCAAAAGACAUGACCUUGCAGCAAUAAGUGCCUCGCUCGAUCACGAAUGUGGUUUUCAUCUUGUCGAGCUCGUGCAUGGCUAUUUGGUUGUAGCCGGAGUAUGCAUCCAAGAAACUGAGUAGCUGGUUCCUGGAAGUUGAAUUUACAAGUAGAUCAAUUCGGGGAACUAGAUAAUGAUCUUUCGGGCAUGCUUUGUUGAGGUCAAUGUAGUAUAUGUAAACCCUCUAUUUGCCCUUCUCUUUCUUCAUUACUAGCACGACAUUGGCAAGCCAUGUUGAGUGUGCUACCUCUUCUAUGAAUUCGACCUCCAAUAGCUUGUUGAUUUCCAUUUCUAUGAUGGGCACUCGUUUAGGUGCAAAAUGUCUUCUCUUUUAGAUUACCGGUUUGGCAGUGGGGUCGACAUGGAGUUUGUGGUAAGCUAUCUUGGGGUCGAUGCCAGGCAUGUUGGAAUGUGACCAUGCAAAGACUUCACGAUUCACCAUAAGGAAAGAUGUGAGUUCUUCAUUUUCCUUCGGGCUCAGGAGUAAGCUCAUUCUAGUAGUGUUCUCCGGCUAUUGGGGAUCAAGAAUGAUGUGUUCGGCGUCCUCUUCAGCGUUGAUUUAGACACCAUCUUCUUGAUUUAUCUGCUGUAAUUGCUAUUUGGUAGCUUCGUCGUCCUUUUGAAACUCGGCAGCCUCUAUGGGGUAAAGGUUUUAUUUUUUUUACUCCUUCAGUACUUGCACAGUGAAUAGUCAAGAUGUGGCCUGGUCAGACUUGAUUUCUCCGACUUUUCCUCCCAAGAUGCGGAAUCAUAUUUUUUUAUACUUGAUGAAGGUUACGGCAUCCAUCUUUAUCAGCCAAAGUCACCCUAGAAUUCCAUUGUAAGGAGACAAGUUGCUUACUAUUGUGAACAUCUGCUUUGAGAUAAUUAGCGAUGUUCUCACGUCAAGUGUAAUGUUGCUGAUGGCAGUCGAGGUGUGUCCGUUGAAUCUGGUGAGUACCUCCGUUCAACAUAUGAUUGUGCUUUUCAUGCCCAUCUUCUAAAUUACUAAGAGCUGAAAUAGGUUAACUACACUUCCGUUGUCAACAAUCAUUAUGUCGACUAUAGUGUGGGUUAGUUGGACAGAUACCAUUAGUGCAUUGUUAUGUGGGAAAUCAACGCCCUCAACAUCUUCCUUGGUGAAGCCAACGAUAUGUCCAGGUUAGGUGUUGACUUAUUGGACUUGUGAAACUAGUAGAGCACGCUGGAUCUUCCUCUUUUUGGAGUUAUUGAUGGCUUCCUAGUGUUUGGAUUCAGCGAAGAUGUCAUUGAUCCGAAUUGUCUUGGUCAGCGGCUCUUUAUCGGCAUCUGCGUUCCUUUUAGGCUACGCAAUUGUCUUGUCCAAGUCUUUGUCGACCUUGCCCUCUUUCACCAGCUUCUAUAGGUAGUUCCUCUAAGUGUAACAAUCGUCGGUUGUGUGAUCAGGACCUCGACGGAAUGUGCAGUACUUGGUGUGGUCCAACUUAGAGGUAUCUCCCUUUCAUAGUUUUGGCAGCUUAAACCAUGGUUCGCUCUUGAUGUUGCGGAGGAUUUGGUGGAUCAGAAUGGAUAACUUAGAGUAGUUCUUAGGCGUCGAGCCUUCUUUAAUCGGGGAUCGGUCCCUGCGCUUGGCCUCCUGCCUGCUUUUGUUGUACUGUUUCCCGUUCUCAUUCUUUUGAGCUACUGUCGAUUCUUUUUUAGGCUACCCGGGUGCUUUGUCUGCUCGCCGAGCCUCGUCCCAAAGUGCAUGCUUCUUUACCAGAGCAAAAGAGUAUGCCAGAGUUAGAUCUUCUUUCAUGAUCAAUUCUUCGAACAACAGUUGAUCUGCUAAGUGUUCGUUUUGGAAGGCUUCACUAGCUAUCGAGUCAUUGCAUCCGACUAUCUUUGCCUUUUCUGCUUUGAACCUUUUCACAUAGCCGCGGAGCAACUCCUUUGGGUUCUUCUUCAUGUUGAACAAGUGGUUGGACUUCUUCUUGAUCAAGCGAUAUGAUGAAUACUCAUUGGUAAAGACUAAAGAAAGUUCAUCGAAAUUCUGGAUAGAUUGUGGCGGCAAGGUGUAGAACCAAUCUUGCACUUCGCCUUGUAGAGUGGUGGUGAAUAUUUUGCAUAUGAGAGAGUCGUUGUUUCGAUAGAGGAUCAUUGCGCUUUUAUAGUGUUUUAAGUGUCUCUCUGGGUGUCCAUCCCCUUUGAAGAAUGUGAAAUGUAACAUACUCAACUUGCAUAGAGUCUCUGCCUACUCGAUCUCGUCCGUGAAUGGUGACUUACUUAUGUUGGUUAUGUCUCGUCAUAGUGCCUCGUCAGUGACCAUGUUAUGUUGGAAAUCGCGCAAUUGCUCGGUCAGGAGCCUCUCUGCUUCUUCCUAAAUUUACCUUUGUUAGGGUAACAGAGCUCUCUGCUGCCUCCGAUCAUGACCUACUGGUCUAGCCUGCUCUUCCAUGUGUUCGGCUUGUCUAUGCAGCAGCUACUGUGCAUAUGGUAUGUUCUUAAUAAGCGAGGGAGUUCCUCGCAGGCUGCCGGUUGAACUUGAGCAGGAUUGAGUGACUGUUUCUUGUUAUUCGUCGUGCUGCCUACUCCGAUGUGAGGUGGAUGAUGCUCCUUGCGGGUCUAGCCACGAAUGAACACUUCGCCUAGAGGUUGCUCAUGUUGAUUAUCAGAGUGUGGUCCCAACCGUGAAUGUAUGCUCAUCUGUGGGCCUAAACGAGAAUGCACGCUCAUUCGUGUGCUAAGAUGAGAGUAUACGCUAUCUCGGGGACCUAGUCAGGAGCGUACACUACUCGAACGCUCGGUUCGUGAAUGGUUAAGUGGCUGCUAGCCUAGAAGAUGCUAGAGAGGUUCAUCGUCUACUCUUGUCCAACUUUGGGUCACCUCGUCUGGGGCACGCUACAUCUCGAUACGCUGCAAGAGCUGAUUCACCAAGUUUGUCUGUUGAACAAGGGCGUUUAUCAGCUAUAUGACUUCAAGACAAGUGUUGUUCACCAUUUGGGUUGGAAGAGCUUGGACGGUGUGCGUCUCCUUAAGUAGUGGAAAUGUAAUGGACUUCGGGCGCGAGAUUUGAGUUAGAUAUGUCAAAUCCGCGGAGAAAUGAGGUGAAAAUACCCCUGGUUUAAUUGUCUGUCCAUAAAUCUUAAGCCGAGAUGGUUGAACCUGUCUUAGACCGAUUUGGGUUGCUAGGAGGGCCAUGGGAAUGGGCCGGACCUUGGGUUUGACCGUGAAAGUGGGUCGGGUCGUAGGCACGGGUCGGAUCAUGGGCGCAACCUGGGCCGUUAGAGUUCAUGGGCGCUGGGCUCCCCUCGGUGCGGCUUGGGCCUAUGGGUCUUGGGGUCGGCUUUGGAGCGUGCUGGGCUCGCACUGGGCUUGGGUCCGCGAGUGUUAGGCUGCUCCAAUUGCUACAACUGCUUGGGCCUCAGCUGCCGUUGCAGCGUCGUGGGCAUGUUGAAUGUGGCACGGGCCUGGGCCUGCUGCUGCGAGGUGGCCUGCUCACCGUGGGUAGUGGGCUCGCCAAUGGGUGCUGCUGUGGUUGCUACCGUGGUGGUUGUCAAGGUGGUGCCCCGUUGGGGUGGUACCGCUCCACUUAUCGCCGCGUUGAGCCUCAUGGAUCAUCAUGGUGGGGUUAUGCCUUGAUCUCCAUCACUUGGUCCAAAUCCUUCAACAUAGGAAAUUCCGUUCGUUGUGGUUUCCGAAUUUCUUGUCAUUGUACUUUUCUUUUACGUUUAUUCAAAGAACUUAAUAAAAAAAUAAAAAAAAAUCUAGGAAUAAGAACAAAAGAAAAAUCUACAAAUGAACAAGAAAUGAGAAACAUUGAAUGCAAGAGUCUUCUUCGAGUGUGUGAAUCAAGACUCUCAAUGAAAGCACCAAUUUAUGGAUGAAAAUUUCCACUGUCUUCUCCUUUGACGAAAAUGCACCUACAAAAUAAUAACACCUAAGAUUAAGGCCAAAAGCCUCACGCGCCCACGAUGUAUGGGGGCCUUUGGCCAAAGAAUAUUCGAUGCCAAAGUUAGAAUUAUGAGAAGAAUGUGUUUUGGAGUUUGUGGGUAGCAAAUAACUUAGUUUUUUAGUGAGAGAAUAUGAAUUUAUAGGGGAGUGGCCGGCCCUAUUUGGAGAAUAGUGGCCGGCCACAUAUGGUUAAAUUGGGAGCAUAAUUGCAAGAUAUUAUGUGAAAUAAUAUCUUGCAAUUAACUUGGCAAUUAAUCCUAAAUUGAAUAGGAAAAUUGGGAGUUACCUUUUGAGUGAGGAUUUGAUAAGGAGUGAUGAGAGGGAUUUGAAUAAAUACCAUUUUGAUCACCUUUCACUCUUCCUUGAUUGAGCCGCUAUUGUCUGUUGCAUACGCGUGGGAAUCCCGGUGUGCCUUGAGGGUAAUUUUGUCAUUUUCACCCAAAAGUCAACGUAUCACUUUCAUAAUUUUCUUGAUUAUUUUUUGCUCCACAAGUUUGACAUAUAAAUUACAACGUGCUAGAACAUAUUAAAAACAUGGACAAUAAGCGUAUAAUGAGUGUUCAUUCAAGUCUCUUACAAUUUAUUGAAAAUAUAAAAUGCAAAAAGUAAGUAAUUUAUUUUCUGUCUAAGUGAGGGUCGCGACUUAGGCAGUCGACGGGUGCUAGGCAGGUCUAGGCGGGUAGGGUGGUGCUUAGGCAAGUUUAGGCAUCAUUUCUUAUUUUUUUUAAAUGUCUAGAGAUUAAUCAAGGCGGGGAUCAGCUGCCUAGUACUUAGGCAGGAACUUUUAGAACAUUGGUUUAAAUUCAAAAUCAACAAAGACUCUUUGAAGAUAAAGCCCCAGAAACAAGAACUCAUAAUUUUUUUUUCCAAACACCCUAAAAUAUUAAUCAGAAAUUAAAAUAAAAAUUGUACAGAAGGGAUGGAGAAAGAUGAGUUGAAGUUGAGAACGGAUUAAUUAUUGUUUCUUUUGGCUAAAAAAAUAUAUAUUAGUUGAAGUAGUGCUUUCUGUUCAACCACAUAACAAACAGUACAAUCGAUUUCGGUCGAGGUAAUGUUUAAUAAAUCUCAUAUUCGGGUUUUUAAGCUUGGUGGAGAACUUGAUUGAAUCGUUGAGCUCGGAGUCGCUUUAUGAGAUUUUCUAUUCGCCGAUGGGGAUUUCCCUGCCAACGGAUUUGGGUUAGUCUAAUGGGACAAGAGAGCACGCGAAAGGAGAAAACAAGGGUGAUGCGGAUGCCACAUAUGCAUUUUUUAAUUAGAAAACUUCAUUUUAAUCCUUAAAAAAUAUGAAUUUUAGAUUAUAAUCUUGUGUAAGAUUAAAAUCUAAUUGAGAAAUUUUAUUUGAAUCCAACUAUCGAUCUUUACACCUAACUAGAAAAAUUUGUCCAACAAACUUCCAUAUUCACCCUUAAAUAAAUAAGAAAGAAGAAACAAUUUUAUAAACCCAAACACAAACAUAAAUUUUUUUUUCUCUCUACACCCAUUUUAUCUAAUUUGAUGAAUCUAACCCUAAUGCCGGCAACCCUUCUCCAAAAUCGUCAACACCCACCAUCCCCUUACAUUAAUUCAAAUAUGAUAUAUCUCGGUACAUACAUUUCAGUAUGUACAUUUUGGUACAUACAUUUAGGUUCAUUAUAAUAUAUGUUGGUACAAACAUUUUGGUACAACCAUUUUUGUACAAUUAUGUAUUUACAUAUUUAUGUGCCACUAAUUUCUUUUAAUAUUCUCUCAUUUAUGUUCAUUUAUUAUUGAAAGAACUAAUAUGUGCAUAUAAUAAAUUUUCAUAAAAGUACACUUUAAGGGAUUAAAUUGAAUAUGUAAUCUAGUACCAAGUUUUUUUUUUUUUUUUUUUUUUUUUUAAAUUGUAAUCUUUUGGAAAGACUAAUGUUCAGAAACCCAUUUUUUAAUCCAUGUUAGCAUAUUUAAUGGUGUUGGACGGAAUUAAUAGAAAAAGACAAUGAGAGCAAAUUUAAGCUUCAAGGAGUAAAAUGAUGAUUUUUGAAUUUUAAAGAGUAAAGUAACAUCAAAAUUGAAUUACAAAGAACUAACUAAAAAUAAAUGAAACUUAAACGAUUAAGAGCGUCACCCUUGGUACGUAUUUUGUACUUAAAAAAAAAUCCUACAAAGUUGUCAGGUCGUCAUCAAUAGAACAUAUUUUAAAAUUCAAAAUAUAGACCUUAAAAAUUUAGCAGCAUUUGUAGGGAGGAAGUAGCUAGUUCUAAUUUUUGCAUACUAGAACAGGUUAAAGAGGAGAAUAAUGUAGCCACGUAUUGAUCAUAUCAAAACAUUGUGUAGAACUGAACUCUGCUGUAUGUUCCCCUGCCUGCAAAAUUGCACACGGGAAUUAAAUUGAGAUGAGUGCCUAUAUUUGCUUUGAGUAUAUUAAUUUAAACAAAAAUGCUAUAUUUGUACCGGGUAAUUGGAGAGCAAAAAAUAAUCUAAAAAAUCCUAGGCGACACAUGAAUUUUUACUCUAGAAAAACAAGAUCGUCCUUAUUAAAUGAGCAAGACUCUCAAAUAUCCCCACGUGCAGCUCAGUAUCCCUGGAAGUCUAUGCAGCUGAUUGCAACUGCCCAUAGCUCCCCUGUUCGUGGCAAUAAAAAGUCAAAAACAUUAAAGAUAGAGAUUAAUUACCAAAUCUCAUAUUCAAUAUAUUCCCAAUUGAAAAUUGACUUCAUCAAGUAAGUAAUCCCUAUCUCAAUCAAUUAGGGAUACUUCCACCAUUAUCCCAAGAUAUUAUUUCUUAAUUAAUAUCUUGGGAAUAUUCUUUCCAUACAUUUUGGCCAAUAGGAUGCUGCCAUGUGUAGGGCAAACCCUAUUAUUAUGGCCAACCGUCUCUUCUCUAUAAAUACGUCCAUCUCUACCAAAUUUCGGUAAGCUUUUGCUACCCCUAAAAGUCCUAAACACUCACUCUUUUAAAAGAAACUAAAUUAGACAUUGGAGAUCCAUUGACCUAACCUCCCCAUCUUGUGGGCGCGUGAGGCUUAGGUUUUUUUUAUCAAAUGCGUUGAUUAUUUUGUAGGUUGAUAGGAGCAUAUUUAUGCGACUUAAUUGGCUUGUUCUUGUGCGUUUACGUUGUGUUUCUUUAGUUAUUUUAGUGUUUAAAGCCAUUUUCUUUUGUUUGUAGGUCUUAAUAACAACCUUGGCAAGAAAAGUGCAUUUUGGUGCAUGUUGGAUCAAUAUUGGGCUCAAAUGGAUUGCAUGCAUGAGGAUGGACGUUUUGGGCAUAUGUGUGUGCAAGUGUGUGUGUGUAAUUGCAAGGAUAAAUAAUGACAACUCAUACACAUGCAAAGAAGCCCACAUGCAAAGUGAAAGACUCUAAGUACAAAGUAUGCAAGAAGAUGCAUUUUGGAGGCCUUUGGAGCAUGUUUCGGGCUUGGAAUGGAUAGCAAAUGCAUGGGCCAAGUGGAUGGACGAAUUUGAGAACUAAAGAGGCCAAGAAUAUGAAGAAUUAUGGUCCAAAAGAUGAAGAAAAACAGCCCAAAAAUCUGUCACCCCAACUUGCAUUCCUUGCCAUGCAAACCACAUAGAAUUCCCUUUGGAUUCCAUGCCAUGCUUGAUCACUCUUGUCCCCUACAUAAUUUCUGAUUUCAUGCUUUAAUUCAUUUAAUUAUUUCACUCAAUUGCUUGAUACCUCUUGUUCCCUUCACCCAUUAGAUUUUAGACAACCUUUACAUCCAUUACAUGCACCAAUUGAUGCUCCAUCAUUCACAUUUGGAAUCCAAUGCCAUGUGCAACACAUGUUGUUGCACCUUUGACCCAUUUGUUGACACAUUUCACCUCCCUUUCCAUCUCUAUGCAAUGUACACAAUCAUUCAUGCUCCCUAGCUACAACACCACUCCAUUUUACCCUUCACACUUUGCAUCAUUACUUCAUUUUCACCCUUGACCAUUGCACACCACACACACAAAUUGCCAUGCAUUUCAUCCUUAACCUAACCUUAUUUUCUAAGGUUUUUGGGGCCUAUAAAUACAUGUUUACACCCCUUGGACAAAGAACAAUCCCCCAUAUUCAUCAUUUUAUCACAGAAAUUCGUCCUUACACACCCUAGGAAGCAAAACACCCCAAAAACACCAUUCUAGUGCCUAGAAAACAUAACAACCACUCCACCUUCUUCCACCCUCUUUGCCUAGUUUUCCACCACCUUCCAACCAUCAAACACUCUUCCACACUCACCCUAAACCCCUCCAUAUCAUUCCCCAUCCAUUCUACACCAUAAAUCCACCCAAAAAUCUGUCCACAAGCUUCAUGCCGCAACAAGGAGGAAGGGAGAUCCAUUGAUGCACUUGCUUUCCAAGUUGGAGCAUUUUAGGUGUUUUCUUUCCUUUGAUUUUAAUGUCUAAUUUUAUGUAUCUUUGUAUUGCAAGAAUGAGGAACUAAACCCCCUUAGUUGGGGGGUGAUUUGAAACCAUGUACAUGCUUGCAAUAUGAUUUGAUUACAUUCAGUUGUUAUUUCAUAAGUUGCGGAUUCAAUUCGUUCAUCUACUUGAUUGAUAACUUAUUUUGUGUAUGUUGAUUGAGAGUGCACGCUUAGUUUUCAUGCAUGAAUAUGAUGCUAGAUUAUGAGGGAGUUUCACCUAAUAGUUACAAUCUUAUAAUCACAAGUAGUGAAGGUCGCUUGAAAACGAUCGCGUUGAAUGAAUUCUUGGCACUAGUUUCAUGCUCAUCAUAGUAACGAAUGCCUCGUCAACACUUAUAGUUCUCAUUGUGCUUCAUGAUUCUUGAUUGUAUCUUUAUUGUGCUCAUCACGUAAGGAACCUUUGAGGAAUGCUUUGAAUUGUUGUAUGCGCUUUUCCAUCCAAUUCAUUAACUUAAGGAGAACUUGAAGGUUAAUUUAAGCGUAUCUAAUUAACUUGGGUGUUGAGUUUCAUAAUUUAUUAAAAGAACAACUGAAAAUCAUUUUGUUUGCAAGUGUGUCAUGUGUGGAGAAGAACCUCCUAACUAGCCUUUUAUCCAUCCUUUUCAUCCAAAAACGUUUUACAAUCUGUUUUGUUUUAAAGUUUCUGUUUUGUUUUCAAUUUUCGUCCAAAACAAAUCCCCCUUUAUUUUGAAGUCUUAGAUUAGUUAGAAAGUGUUUUGAUUUGUGUUUUCUAAGUGUUUUUAUUCAAGUUUUUAUCCAACUUCGUCCAAGUUCUUGUUAGGUUCUCAAAACUGCCCAGAAAGUGGUUUUUAGGUAGUUUUGAGUCAUUAGGUUGCUGUUUUGAGUUUUAUGUUUGUUUAAGUAUUUUAAAGUAUAGUUUUGCAUUCUUUGAGUCUAGUUAGUGUUUUAAAUUUUAUUUUUAUGUUUUUAAGUCAGUUUUCAAGUGUUUAGCAAUCCCUCCUAAUCCCCGGCCUAGAACGAUCCCUACUUACAUACUUUACUACAUUUGAUAAAAAGAGGGUUUAAUUUGUGUGCUUAUAUAUUUCGCAUCAAAUUUUGGCGCCGUUGCCGGGGAUUAGCAACUUUGCUAAUCUCUUGGAUUGUUUUCUUUCGAAUUAUUGUAUCUUGUUUAAGUUUCUGUUUAAGUUGCUGAUUUGUUUUGUUUUCUUUGUUUUUAGGUACUAGUUUAUGACCCGUAGCUCACAACCUGUUCGUGAGCAUAUCUCCGACUUUGACGGUGAUUUUGAGAGGACUUUGAGAAGGAAAAAGAAAUUGCAAGAGUCUAAUCCUCUUAGUCCCGAGCCUGAAUUAGAAGAGCAAGGUAUAGCCAUGGACAAUCGUACACUCAAGGAGCUUGCCGCCUCGGGUUUGGAUAAUGCCGCACCAUUGUGUAUCCAAUAUCCCAUGGCUGCUCAAGGUAAAACCGAAGAGUUCGAGUUAAAGUCAAGUUUGCUCCACCACAUUCCAAAGUUCCAUGGGCUUUCCAUGGAGGAUCCGAACAAACAUUUGAAGGAAUUUGAAGUGGUGUGCUCAAGUAUGACUCCGAUUACCGUUGACGGAAGUAUUUUAAAGAUGAAGGCUUUUCCAUUCUCUUUAAUGGACAAAGCCAAGGAUUGGUUUAUACGAGUUGGCUCCCGGUACAGUUACAUCUUGGGAGAGUAUGAAGAGGGCGUUUCUGGAGAAGUUUUUCCCAACUUCUCGUAUCAUUCUUCUUCGUAAAAAAAUAAGUGGAAUUCAGCAAAGCCAAGGUGAAUCUUUUCCAUCUUAUUAUGAACGAUUUAAAUCACUUGUUGCUUCUUGUCCACAGCAUCAGAUGAAGGAGGAGUUACUUCUUCAAUACUUUUACGAAGGUCUUUUACCACUUGAACGGCAAAUGUUGGAUGCUUCCGCGGGAGGAGCUCUAGUGGAUAAGACACCUAGGGAUGCCAAAACUCUCAUUGCGAAUCGAGCACUCAAUGCACAACAAUAUGAAGGUGUUGGGCAAAGAGACACCCCACGGCCACAUCAUGUCAAUGAGGUAAGUUCUAUUUCUGAGUUACAAUCCCAAAUGGCUAACCUUACGUCUAUGUUAUCGCAGUUGGUUGAAGGCCCCAAAACGCAAGGAACUACAAUCUGUGGUGUAUGCUCCAUUCAAGGACACCAAUCUGAUCAAUGCCCUCAAUUAAUUGAGAAUGGAGGAUGGGAAUCGGCCAAUGCUGUGGGUUAUGGGAAUCAAAACCAACCAAGGAAUGAUCCUUUCUCCAAUACAUACAACCCGGGAUGGCGUGACCACCCCAAUUUCAGAUGGAGAGAUGCACCACAAUAUGGCCAACAAAGUGGAUUCCGACAACCCCCGGGUUUCUUUCCAAGGCCAAUGGAACCACAACCACCUCCUCAGGCACAAUCUUCCCAAACCAACCCAGGUACGUCUAUGAAUGAUGAUAAAACAUAUCAGUUACUAACCACCAUGGCGCAGGGAAUGCAGAACCAAGCAAAGGAGGUUAAUGAGCUGAAGAAGCAAAUGGGACAAAUGGCCGAAUUUUUGGGGCAAUUCCGUGAAAAUGGUAAGUUACCAAGCACUACGGUGGUCAAUCCAAAGGGUGGCUUCGAAUCUGCAAAGGCUAUCACAUUACGAAGUGGAAAAGAGGUGAGAAACAAGGAAGAUGAGAAGAUACAACUCAAGGAAGAUGAGAACACCUACCCCACGGCAAGGGUACCAUCACCCAUGCCGCAGCCAUCUAAGACAUCCCAUCCGUCCACCUCAGGUAAGAAUGUUCCAAAUGUUGUGAUUUCGAACACUAAUCUGCCCAAUGUUCCUUUCCCUCGUAGAUUUGCACAAUCGAAGAAAGAAGAAAGCGAAAAGGACAUUUUGGAUACCUUUCGAAAAGUCCAAGUGAACAUUCCUUUACUUGAUGCUAUUAAGCAAGUGCCCAGGUACGCAAAGUUUUUAAAAGAAUUAUGCACAACUAGGAAAAGAAUUUCAAACAAAGAAGUUGUGAAGGUAAGUGAAAAUGUAUCUGCGGUUUUGCAACGGAAGUUACCUCCAAAGUGUAAGGAUCCAGGGAGCUUUACUAUCCCAUGCGUAAUUGGAAACACUAGAUUUGAAAAAUGCAUGUUAGAUUUAGGUGCUUCUAUUAAUGUUAUGCCAUAUUCCAUUUAUGCAUCAAUGAACCUUGGUGAGUUAAAACAAGAUGGCGUGAUAAUUCAAUUGGCCGAUCGUUCUAACGCUUAUCCCAAGGGAGUCCUUGAGGAUGUUUUAGUGCAGGUCAAUCAUCUUAUCUUUCCUGCAGAUUUUUAUGUCUUAGAAAUGGAGGAUUCAAGCCAUGCUCCAUCAUUGCCAAUCUUGCUAGGCCGACCAUUCAUGAAAACAGCGAGAACAAAAAUAGAUGUGUUUAUGGGAACAUUAACCAUGGAGUUUGAUGGAGACAUUAUUCGUUUUAAUCUUUCUGAAACCAUUAAAUAUCCAAUGGAGGACCAUUCUUGUUUCGCUAUUGACAUUGUUGAUUCUUUGGCACAGGUACAUUUGGAUCGAAUGAACGACGAUGCACUUGAAAUAGCCUUAGUACACGGCAUAGGAGCAAGAAACAAGUGUGGGGGAAUCCAAGCAACCCACGGCAUGGAAUCUGACCAUAUUGCCGUGCCCCCUUGUGGUGAAGUGUUUGAAAUGGUCGCGGCCCUCGAGUCAUUGACAUCACAUUCUGGUAAGUCUUCACUCUCAAUUUUAGAUUCGGUUUUGGCUAACAAGUUACUUCCAUCCAUUGUGCAGCCACCUACACUUGAGUUGAAGCCAUUACCUAGUCACUUGAAGUAUGUUUUCUUGGGAGAAGAUCAAACACUACCCGUCAUCAUAUCUAGCUCACUCACGGCCCAAGAAGAAGACAAGUUGAUAAGGGUGUUAAAGGAGCACAAAUCUGGCAUUGGAUGGACCUUGGCGGAUAUCAAAGGCAUUAGUCCCACCACGUGCAUGCAUCGCAUCCUUUUGGAGGAGGGAGCUAAGCCAUCUCGGGAGGCUUAACGUCGCCUUAAUCCACCCAUGUUGGAAGUAGUAAAGAAGGAGGUUAUAUAAAAUUGCUUGACUGUGGUGUUAUAUAUACCCUAUUUUCUGAUAGUCGUUGGGUGUCUCCCGUGCAGGUUGUUCCAAAGAAGUCCGGGAUCACGGUGGUGAAGAAUGAAGAACAAGAGCUUGUACCCACUCGUGUGGUGACCGGUUGGCGUGUUUGUAUUGAUUACAGGAAGUUAAAUGCCAUGACAAGGAAAGAUCACUUUCCGUUGCCAUUCCUGGAUCAAAUGUUAGAAAGGUUAGCCGGUUAUAAAUUUUAUUGCUUUCUUGAUGGAUAUUCCGGAUAUAACCAAAUUGUGAUAGCUCCGGAGGACCAAGAAAAGACAACGUUCACGUGCCCCUUUGGCACCUUUGCAUACAGGCGCAUGCCAUUUGGUUUGUGCAAUGCCCCUGCGACAUUUCAACGAUGCAUGGUGAGUAUCUUUUCUGAUUAUGUGGAGAAAAAUUAUUGAGAUAUUCAUGGAUGAUUUCAGCGUGUUUGGUAAUUCAUUCGAUCAUUGCUUGAGUAAUCUGACCUUAAUUUUGAAACGUUGUGUUGAAACGAAUCUUGUGCUUAAUUGGGAAAAAUGUCACUUCAUGGUUAAGCAAGGUAUUGUUCUAGGACAUAUUAUUUCUGAAGAAGGCAUUGAAGUGGAUAAAUCUAAGGUAGACCUUGUUCGUCACUUACCCUCUCCAACUUCGGUUAGAGAGGUUCGUUCGUUUCUUGGUCACGCAGGUUUUUAUAGGCGUUUCAUAAAGGAUUUCUCCAAGAUUUCACAACCACUAUGCCGAUUGCUUCAAAAAGAGGUGGCUUUCGAGUUUGAUGAUGCAUGCUCCAUGGCAUUCAAGCAAUUAAAAGAAGCUCUUACUUCGGCUCCCAUUAUCACACCUCCAGAUUGGAGCCUUCCAUUUGAGUUGAUGUGCGAUGCUUCGGAUUAUGCGAUUGGUGCUGUUUUGGGGCAACGAAAGAACAAACAACCUCAUGUUAUUUAUUAUGCCUCUAGGACACUAAAUGAUGCUCAAUCAUAGGUACAUUUUCGUCAAGAUCGAAGACGGCGGAAUUUGCUACAAAAAAUUGGUACUUCUAUUGAGAGCUUGAUUGAAAUACUCAAAAAAGACUCUCGCAAUUGGUUUUUGGAAUUUUCUACGUUGAAUUUCUCAUAUGCAACAUCAUUUAAUUUUUCUUAGAAAAUUUUCUUGAUCAAUCCCUAGAGUAAAGAGACAAUGGUUGAAAAUUUCGAAACCACGACGAGCAAAACCCCAUACGUUCAAGGAUUUGGACUAGAGUAUGGAGACAAGGACAUGGCCCCAUGACAAUGGUCCUCGAGACUCAACAUGACGACACAAGAAGGCCAACCGUCGCUGAACACCAUCAUUGUUGUGGCCACUAAUAGAACCAAUUUUACGCUCUUCUGCAAGGGCAAUCGAGUACCAAUCUGACCAGCCUGCAAAAUAGUAAAACUACUGUUAGCAAGCCUAGGGCCGGGAGGGAGGGGGUGUGUGCCGGCAAAGGCUCUCCGAGGGUCAAGUUAGUGAAUGAUUUUAGACUCAAGCAGUGUGUAAAAAAAUUUUUAAGUGUUUAGAAUGUGUUACCACAGAUGAACCCUAAAUGGGUGUAUUUAUACUGUAGGGAGAGAAAUCUUUUCAGGAUAGAGUCCUCGUUCUAAGCCGGGAGAAUCCUAGAGGAUAUCUAGAAAUAAAUAUUGUAUCAUGUUAGGAGUUAUGAUUACUUGCGGCGCAUGCCAAUUCCUAGAUUGUAGGAACUCCACGACUUAUAGAAAUUGAUUGUGUCUAUAUCUGGAUAAGAUCGUGUGCCUUGCAGAGCAAGCAUGGUCAUCCAGCAGAGUCGCUAGGACUUCGCCUAGUGCUUUUGAGUUAAGUGAUGAUGGCACCGCUACUCCGUCUGAUAUAGCUCUACCCGGAGCUGGUGAGUCUAUGAAUAGACUUCUGAAGUAAUUGUAUUUGGAUAGCCUUAUUACGACCUUGGAAAAUCAUAGUCCCAUAACCAUUACCCAGCAACCCACGACAAAGAUGAUUGCAGCCGCAGCAGCCCAAGUCGAGGCUUAUGCUCAUGGUGCAGCAGAGGAGCAUCAAGAACAGGAGGCCCAAACUGAAGCAGAUGCCCCAGUAAGCCUAGGGCAGGAGGCUCAUCCCACUUGCUGCAGAAGCAGCCCGAGCCUAAGAAGGGCAGACGACAGCUGAGCGCGUAGCAUAGGCCCAUGGGUAGCGGGCCCACACGCAAGCCCAUCACGUCCCAGCUCACGGUUCAGCCAGCCAGGCAGGUUGGCCUGUGACCUACUUCGACGACUCGCCUCACGGCCUAGACCUGUCGGAGACCAUUUCAGGUGAUCUGGAUUCUAACGACCAGACCAUCAUCUGAGAUCUUCCAUCUUAAAUGACUAGCAACACUUAUCCAGCAGGUCGCUGACCUAACUAGCGCCCUCGCGUAGCAGACGACCUUGGUGAAUCAGCUCAUUGAGCGUAUCAAGACGCAACGCACCUCAGACGAGGUGUUUAGAAAUAGGACAAGGGCAAAAGGUCGUGACUCUUUCCAUCAGCGUCCCAGCAAGCAACCGUUCAACCUGCCACGAACUUAGCGUUCAGGCAGUGUACUAUCUGAGCAUGGCCCUCGAGAAAACGUCUUCUUCUACCUUAGUGUGCAGAGAAACGUUUAUUCCUCGCAUGCCCCAUGAGUCAGUGUACAUUCGGGGUUAAGUCUGCAUUUUGACAAGCAUUCCGGACAUUCUAAGCGAAGCGUCCAUUCGCAGGUAGGCUCGCAAGGGGAUCAUCCUACGAAACACCAAAGUAGGCAGCAACACAACAAACAAAGGGAAGCACGAGAGAUGUGACGAUACCAUGCAAGCUCAACUUUUAGGAAGGGGUUCCCAGCAAAUUACCCCUUCUUUGGAAAACUUAUCAUGGUCGAGAACUUUACUCUGGCAAACUCUUAUGCUUUAGCAGAAAAACACUCACUCUGGGAUGAAGCCAGGCGCGCCCAGAAGUCACCUAAAUAGCCAUAGAAAGACUCAAAGGCAGUUUAGAAAAUGAUGAGAGAGAAGUAGCUCAAUGACAAAAGCAAGCUAGAAAGCAAACGUAGGGACCGAUCCUCGGCGAAAGGAAGCUCGACACCUAAGAUGUUCACCAAGUUCUCAAUCCUGAUCAACUAGAUCCACUACGAACUCAAGGGCUAGCCAUGGUUCAAGAUGCCACAACCUAUGAAGGGAGAUACUUCUAAGAUGGACCAGUCGAAGUAUUACGCAUUUCAUGGGGGGCCCGGGGCACACAACCAAGGACUACCUCUGUCACGCCCCGAUCCAGACAUACAUCCACGAUCGAUACGUGACGUCACUAAAUGCUCGUAACUGAACGUACCCUGCCUUUUUGAUAUGUACAAAAUAUAAUUCAAGAUCCAGAUGCAUAAUAAUUUUGCGUAUACUUUAUGGCUGCAUCUAACCUCCUCGUUAGACUGCCUACGUACCCUCAACAAGGAUCAAGCCAUUCGUAGUUCGUCCUUCGCUACAACUCGACAUAUAUCACAGUCCGUUCAAGCCGAAAGGCAUAACAUUCCUCAAUCAAACAUUUAAUAGAACCUGACAAGCAUGAAAUUCCUAGACUCAGGGCUACAUAACAAACCCCUAUGAAAAUCAUGAUUUCUCUUCCAUCCAACAUUUAAAUCAUUAUGUCCAACAUGAUAUCGCAAUUCACAACAUACAUCAUAUUUAGGAACCAAUGAAGCACAAAACCAUUCACUAGCCACAUUAAUUAACUAAUCUGGUCAAAAUAAUAACAAUCAUUCUCAUAUCUUCUAAAUUCAUAUAUUAUGAAAUCAUAAUCGAAUCGUAGAAAAUCUCGAAGGAGUCACACAAACGUACAAUCGCUUUUCUAAUUCAAUUCACAAGAUUCUCGAAACCAUUAUUCACAAAUAUACUAAAACGAAGGCUAAAGUGCCACAAUUAAGCCAAGCCUACUUCUUCGAAGAAUGAGAUUUUGGACCACUCAACGAUAUCCAACCCAGGGUACGAUUCUAGACCAUCACUCAACGAAAUCGCAGAGUAGAAGGGAUUCCGGACCAUCACUCAACGGAAUUCGAAUGGAUACGAUUCUGGACCACUCAACCUACCACUACCUCAACCCCCUAUAAUUUACAACGUAGCCACCUACACUAUCAACUUCUCAUGGCCUCCAACUAAUAUGUAACACAAGCAUAUAAAUUCUACAAACUACUUUUAAUAGGAUUCUAAGAUCUCAUUGUCAUAACAUUUAUCAUAUUUAUCAUUCACAUUACUAAAAGGAUAACUAAACACAUAUACGUCACAAUCAUCAUCAGUACACAAGCCAAAUCAUGUUUAAUAAACAUAGAUCUAUGGCUAAAUAUAUAAAAAUCACAUUUCAAUAGAAAUCAUAUUUAUAAAACCAAUUCAUAUUCACAACGGAUACGAAUAUAAGAAAUUAAGGUAAUAACCCUAUCACAUAUAUUCAAGUCACUCUCUAACCAAUGUGGGUCCACUAGACUUCACUUAAUCUCUGGUAGUACCAAUUCUAGUAUCUAGAACAUUUCGAGACAUGUUGACCAAAAGUCAACUCUCAGUCAAUGGUAGGAUCCACAACUCUACAUAAUUCGAUCCGAAAGAUCCGCUAAUCGGAUUUCGGAUCCGUAACUUCCUAAAGUUCUCAUUAUACUCAUAGAACAUCAUACUAAUAUCUUGUCACGAUCUGACGGUCGGAUCUUCGUCAAUCACAAUUUCCGGUAGCGGUUACCGUUUUAUUUUACAAACUUACAAAUCCAAUUUGGAAAGAUCCAUACGUUGGACUCCUGAUUCGUAAGUUCUUAUGAUCCUCAAAUAUUACAUACUAUAACAUAUUAAAUUUUGUUGACGAUUCAACGAUCGAAUCGUCGAUUCAUUUAAUGUCCAAGUGGCGGUCUUUAUCAAACUAUAGUCAUAUGACGAGAUUUCGCCAAUCAAACAUCACAUAUGGAAUUAGGGUAUCCAAUUUAGUGUAAAAAGGUCAGGUGGGGUCUCGGCUCACGCUCCGCCACCACCCGCCGCCGCACGCAGCGGCCAACCGCCCCGACUUGCCGAAAAAUUCAACUAUUUCCAAAAUUUCUCAAAUUUCACAGGAAUAAAGAUCUCAAUGAGGGGAGAAAUUUUCAUACCUGGGCCGAAGUCCAAUUCGGCCAAAAACACCUGAAAACAGCCUCAAUCCGCUGGAAACCCUUGAAUUUGGGUGUUCUUGAUUCGACACCACUGGUGUUCCGCCGCCCCAAUAGCUGUUUGGGCUUUGUUCUAUGCCUCAAGGAAAGUGUUUUGGUGGUGAUGAUUGAAGAUAAUUGUUUCAAAAAUGGGUGGAUUGCCGCCGGGUGUCCUCAAAGCCGACGGCUUCAGUUCUUCCAAAUUUGAGCCCAAUCAACUCCAUUUUUUUUAUGAGACAGGAAGGUGGAACAAUGGUGAGUCAUUUUCAGGUGGUGGCUCGUCUCAAAACGCCAGAAUUUGGCCUGGGGAACCCACGGUUCCAUUACUUCCGUCUGGGUCGGGUCGCACAAAUUGGGUAGGGAUCUUUGAUCCCGUGCUGCUCUCUCUCUCUCUCUCGUCACCUCAUUCCCCUCUCUGAUUCGUCCCCCUGCUUCCUCUCUCCUCCCCUGAUUCGUCCCCCUUCCCUCCUUUUUCUUUCGUUCUCCCUUAUUUCCCCGCUCCUUCUAUGCCAUCAAGUAGCCUCCUUUUUUUUUCCUUUUUCUUUAGCUGCCAUUUGGCAGCUCUAUUUUUUUUUCUUUUUUCUUUUUUUUUUCAGCCACUCACGUGGCUUCCUUUUUCACAAUAUGCGAUCGAGGUGUUUUCCAUAAAAAACAUAAGUCGUAAAUAUAAACGCGUUGAAAUUAAUAAUACAAAUAUAUAUAUUUUUAAAUAAUGAAAUCCGGGAACGGGAUUUCACAACCUCACUUGGAAGAGGUAUCUUGAGAGGCUGGUGAAGAAAGGCAGAUGUGACAAGUAUGUCAACAAGCUCGCAACGCAGCCAAGGAGAGGCACAAAUGUCGAUGUCGAACUCCCAACCAAGAUAAUCUAAAUCAACAACAUCUUCGUUGAAUCUAAAUAUAUGGGGGCCACCAACAAUUUCAAGAAGAGGAAGAUCCAGCAGGCGAGAUCAGUCUUCCAAGUUCAAGCCAUAGAUGUUGUACCUGGACCGAUCAUUGGCUUCACUGAGGAGGACGCUGAAGGAGUAGAUUUUCCUCAAAACGACAACCAGGGAGGAGUUUGUUGCAGAAGCAGGUAGCCAUUGUCUUGAAGAAAUUAAUUGAUGAGAAGCAUGUUAUGGAAUCGCAGGGGUCUGUCUAGACCUGAUUUCGUGUCAUAAUUUAGAUUUUCACGUGUGAUUAACAAACUGAACCUUUUUUUUAUUGUUGAAGCGCAUACUAGUCUUGAUAAGGUCUCUUCUACUUGUUAUAAUGCUUUUUUUAUUUAUUGUAGUUUUAAUGGAGUAGGUGUUGGAAAGGCUGGUGGCCUUCGUUCGUUCUGGAAAUCGAAUGCCUUGAAUAUCAAUAUAAUCUACUCUUUUGAUCGUUUUAUACAUGCUAUUGUGCAUGAUCUUGUUUGUGAUACAAGUUAUCUAAUUACUUUAGUGUAUGCUUACAAUAAAAAAGAAUUACAAUAUGAGUUAUGGAGUAAAAUUUUUACAUUGAACCCAAAUAACGAUCCUUGGUUACUCUUGGGAGAUUUUAACAAUAUCCUAAACGCCAAAGAAAAUUUGGGAGGGAAUAGAACAAUAACUAAGUACAUGAUUGAUUUCAAUAAUUUUACAAUCAUCGUAAUCUUGUCUCUAUACCUGCUUCUGGAGUUCCUUUCAGUUGGACAAAUGGACAUAAGGAUAAAUCGGUAGUUUUUGAAAGGUUAUACCGUGCAUUUGCUAAUUUCGAGUGGCUAAAUAUGUUUGAACAUGUUCAUUUACACAAUUGCCAAUAUUUGGCUCGGACCUUAGUCCUACCAUACUUCAUUGUAAUAAUAUUGGCUAUAAAAGGAAGGACUCUUUCAAGUUUGAGGUAAUGUGGCUUAAUCACUCUGAAUUCAAUCAAUUUGUUAUAGACAAUUGGCAAUGUAAUAUCUCUAGACACCCAAAUGAUAUGUUUAGAGCGUACGCUGAAAGAUUUAAAUUCAAAGUGAAACGGUUAAACAAAGAUGUCUUUGGUAAUGUGCAAAAGCAAAUUAAACACCUCAUGACUUAAGCUUACAACAUAUCGUUUAUUCCACACUUUGUUAUAAAUCUACUCCAAAUAAAUUAUAUAUAUACUAAACGCCUAACUUUGUGGUUAAUUCCCUUUGUGUCCUUUUUACUGUUCAUUCAUCAAUGUUCUUCCGUUUUUGCCCCUUCUUUGUUUCUGUGAUCAUUGUUUAUUAUACAGUGUGAUUCCGUCUUUAGCCCUACUUUAAUCUUUGGUAUUUUACUUCAUUUUUGGAUUCUUCCUUCCCACACCGUUUCAGUCUCUCGACCUUCCUUGUCACUGGAUGCUUCCCACCGUUUCAGACUAUCGACCCACUUUUUCUCUGCCUGCCUCCUGCUCUCCCCAUCUCCCUCCUAGCCUCAUCUCCCAAUCACCCAACUUAUUUUCGGUUUAAACUUAAAUCUCAUAUGAAUCUCCUUGGUCUCAAAGGUCUUAUCUCCUCUGAACCCAGAAAAGCUUUAGCCUUCCGACAACACCGGCAGCCAUAAUCUAAGCGGUUCAGCAGCUAAUAGUAUGCCUAAUUUCGCAUUACAGUAUUGUUGGGUAGAAUUCAAAGGAACCCAGAUGGAGAGUUUUAAUUUUUAUUUGAAUUGCAUGUUAUCUAGAUGAAAAUUUGAAUUUGCGAGCUAGGGUUUUUCGAUUUUUUUAAUUUGGGAUUUCAAUUUUAUUGCUUUUUCGCAUAUAUGAUAAUGGUUAUGGUUUUUCUAGCGAAUUCUGAUUAUUUACGAUCUGGGUUUAAUGAUUUUAGAUGGGGAUCAAGUAUAAUAUGUGUGUAGAGGUUCUUCUUUUAAUUGCUAUGUGUGUAACAGCUUUGUUCAGUUAGCUAUCUAAUUGUUGAUUAUCAGUUAGGGUUUUGAGGAUCCAAAUAUCAAUUCUUUGUACGUUUUAUUUGUCAAGAGUUUUUUUUUUUUUUUUAAUGAAAGAAUAAGAAUUUACUUUGUUUUGAUGCUUCAUGUGUUUAUUGCUUAGUUUGCAGUUAUUUUUUCUUUGGUUUUCAUCUACUGAUUGGUUUUAGGGAUCGGGGAUUGGGCUAGCACUCUCUCCAAAGGUAGUUUUUAACUUUUUAUAUGUUUAAGUUUUUUUUAAUAUAAAUUUUGAGUGAUGUUUCAUUCUUAAGCCGUGGUUUUCUUUGCUUUGCAGUUUCAAGUUUCUAUUUGCACAAAGAACUUUCAGAUAGGGUAUAACUUCUUCAGGUGUGUGCUCUGUAUAUUUCUCGAAUUUAGAUUUCUUUAAUCGCUAUUGUUUAUUAGAUUUUCUUUCGAUCUGAUUCCAAUUGAGUUCGAUUUCGAACUUGAAUUUAUAUUCGAUUUUGAUUUACAUAUGUCCUAAUUUCUUUGAAGAAAUUUAGAGAUGAAGGUAUUCAAGUUGGAGACUUUGAGUUCAAAUUUCUUCAAAUUCAAUAAACCCAUUUGUUGCCCCUCUCUCUCCUUUCUUUGUCUCUCUUAAUCUCAAUACCAUUUCUCUCUCUUAAUUUCAAUAUUAUUUAUUAGUUGAAGUUGACGCAUCUUUUGUACCUCUCGAAUGCUGAGGUUCAAAUUAAUUCUGGAAGGAUUCCAAUCUGGCAAAAGUCUAAACUACCUUUUAUAUUUUGACAGCAAGAUCCCUUUGCUUAUCAGUAUUGUCAAACAUGUUUAUGAUCCUUUCAUUUAUGUCUUAGACAUAUUUCUAUACAAUGAGUCCGUCUGCGGUUGAUGAGCCAAAUAAAAAAAUUAGUACCAGAGUGUGACAUAGUUGUAUUAAUGGAUCCCUAAUUCUAAUAAAUUAAAGAUUCUCAACCCUAAUAUGAUUUAGGUGUUGUUUCAGAUUUUGUGUUUCUCAUUUUGGAAGUGAUUAAUAGGUGCUCUGUAAAGGUUAGUCUUAUACAUCUCUAAAUGUAACCUAUCUACUCCUUCCAGACCUCCUUAACUUAGAACUUUCCUGUUAGGUAGGUCAAUUUCCCAAGGAAACAUUUGAUGCCUCUGGAGUUAGGUUGGUUCUCUUUUCCAAGCUUCAAAUUUUAGUAAUCAUAUCAAAAAAUUGAGUUAGUUUUAAAUAACUAUAGUUAGGCUGUUUGCAUUCUACUAUGCGUACAUACAUACAUAUAGAGAAGUUUUGAAAACCAAAAACGAACCAACAGAACUAAAAAGGCCUGAUCCAAUUAAUUUCAAAUAUCCCAAGAAUCCACAUAUCAUUGCAAAACCAAAUUCAUCACUUUUCAAAAAAGCAUGGCAAAGGGAGUUUGUAGGAUUAUCAUCUUAAUAUAGGCCAAUGAGAUUUGAAGUUGGAAUAAUUUUGUGGAUACACAUAAUAUGUUGAUUCCUAUUGGUUCUUCAUUAUGACCUGUGAGACAUAUAUGCUUUAGAAAUUUUAAUUUUCCUGUUUUAUUUUAUCUUUGUUACAUCAAGAUUUUUUGUUGGAUUUGAUGGUUAAGGUGAAUUGAGUAAUUAAUCUAUAAUAUCUCUUUUGAUUUAAUGGUUGUGAAAAUAUGAUGAUGUGGUGGUUAUUAUGAUGGAAAUGCAUGUUAAAAAAUUAUGAAUUUAACAUGAUUGAAUUCCAACUUUCUUAAAUUUACUGAAUUAUAUACUCUUAAUGUUAAACUUUCUUAACAUCAGGUGAUCAGUAUGAAUGGAUUUGAUAUGGGAAGGUUAGCCUCUAAACUAAAUCCCAUUCCUAAGUGAUGUUAUGUGACAUAAUUUAUACCGCACUAUGUCUUUAAAGAAAAUGUUCAUUAGUUUAUACUCAUAGCUGCUGUAAUUACAUGUUAGUUUUAUACUCUUUUUUUUAAGAACUAUGCAUAGUAGUUGUUAAAUAUUAUGACAUUUGAAAAUCCUUAAUUGUAUGAUUGGGAUAUGAUUAUUGUGCAUUCACUUUAUUUAAUUACAAUUUACGAGUGAUGGAAAAUUUAAAAUUAAUUUAUGCCACAAUUGUUAGGCACUAUGUUUCACUAAAAUUCAAGAUGAAGGUGAAGGCGAUAUCUGUAUCCAUCUACACAUGCAUUUUGGAAAGUUUGAUGAUUCGCCUAUAUUUCGCCAACUGGUAUGUUCAUUCUAAAUUUUUAUAUUUAUUGUCAUUAUCGUAUGUUAAAAUUAUGCCAUAAAAAGCUGAAAUCAAUUUUUUUGUUUGGCUAGCUGAUCUUAUUGUCACAGGUUAUAAUUUCACUUUUUUUUUUCCUGAAUUUACAAAUUAUGGUUUACAAUGGUGUGACUUUUUAUUUUAUUUUAUUUAGUUUUUCCCCGGUGUGGUUGAUUUUCUUUUUAAAUAAAUGCAUUUAGUGAAACAUUUUUGGCAUAAUAUAGACCAAUGGUGUUUUUGCGCAUAAUUAAAAAAAAAAAGAGAGGUAAUGCGGCAACUUGGUGUUCUAAUUAUAUUGGAACCCAUGUCGUUAGAAUUACUUGGAAUUCCUUUGUAUAAAAAAAGAAAUUACUUGGGAUGAAGAAAGUGACUACUUUUCUCUGCUUUUGUUGUUUAUUCGUUGUUUUUUUAUAUUUGUUAGUUGUCAUGAAGUUUUGAUGUUUGCCUAUUGAUGUAUGCUAUUUUGGAUACAGAUACAAGGCUUGGAAGGAAGUGUAGAGUCGACUACCCAAAUGAAGAGACUAAGAAAUGAGUUUUCGCUCUCUUUUGCUUGGAAUGGUCAGUACUUUCAAUUCUUCUUCGUUUUUUUUUUUUUUUUUGGAAAGCAUGAGUAUAAAGUUUGAUCACUAAGUUUGACAAACAAAUAUAUUGAAAUAUAAAAAUUGAAUUUAAAUUUGUCGACUAGAUUAUCUUUUUCUUAACUUUAUGGGUUGCUUUGUUAUAUAGUUUCAAAUACAUAGGAUUAGUUUCAUAACUUUAUGGGUUGCUUUGUUAUUGUUUUUGGUUGCAGAUUUAACCCCUUGAACUUGAAUUGGAUCACUCUUUGGUCAAAUGCUUAUAACUAAGACUGCGACAGCUACUGCUCCACCAUCAUUUCUAAAACAUUAGGUAAAAAUCUCUCAUCUCUACAAAUCUUUUUAACAAUGAACCAAUGAUUGCACAAAAAAGUUUAGUACGAUCUUAUUUUUAUGUCUUUCGCUCAUUAUCUCAUUGAACAAAUCAAUUCCAGAAGCCAUUUUAAGUAUGCUAAAUACUUUAGAUUUGACAUUUUGUGUGUUGAAUAUCAAGAUAGAGAAACUUUUCUCUAAAACAUGAUCUGACCGUUUAUGCAUUCGUUUUUCUAAGUUAACAAUUCUGCAAAAUGAGGGUUUAUAUUCACCUUUUAAACAGUUUAAAUUUUUUUUCACUUUUUAAACACUUUAGACCAAAUUUGUUUAAGCAUAAUUCAAUUGAUUGGUUUGAAUACAAAUAAUUUGUAAAACUUGGAUUCAUGCAGUAUUUAAGGUUUAAGGCCAUAGCUCAAACCACGCAUAUGUUUUGUUAUCUCAUCGUUAUCAUACAUAGUUCAAAACACACAUAAUAUAAAAUUUGACAUAAACUUUAUGAUGAGUAGAUUUUAUAUUAUAUAUUUUACCCUAAUCUUAGUAUAUUUUGGUUAAUAUAUUGGAAGAAUUUUGAUACUUUGAAUUGUAUUUUCAAUAUAGGACUUUCGACUUCCUCUGGAGCAAAACAUGACCAAAUGGACGAAUUUUGGAGUAAUUCCAGUUGGAGGACGUUCGUGAGUCACUUAGCUUGAUCGUAUCAAAAUUUGGGAUUUUUCCACCAAGCGGUUAUUUUCUAGCGAUAAAAUAAAGAAGCAGUGCGCAGUGCGCAGUGCUAGAAAAUGACGUUUUUGGGCUUAAAUUGCGUUUUUGGAGCCCAAGAUGACCUCGGAUGGGUUCGUGGCCUUUUGGAAAAGUGUUCAAAAUAUUCCAAACAUUAAAUCCAGCUAUAUUGGGCCAGUUUUGGAGCAGCUUAUGGGUCAAAGCGUGGCUGUUCAGAUUUUAGACGAAUUUUAUCAUUUAAUUUAGGGUUAUGUUUCCUAGGGUUUGUGGGGAGGCUUGGCAGAUAUAUGGCUUGGCCGUCUACCAUAUUCCCUUACGCUUUCUUUUAUGCAAUUUUGGAGACAAAGAAUUGUUAGGGUUUUGAAGACUUUUUACUUGAAGGUGCUUUCAAUCCUUUUCUUGAAUAUAUUUUCUAUGAUUUCAAAAUAUGCGGAACUAAUUUCUUUUGCUAGGGCGAAGCCUUGAGCCUUAGCAAGAAUAUGUGAUUUUAAUUUAAUUGCUUAUGAUUGAUUGCAUGCGUACUUUGAAUUGUUAAUCACCGGGAUAAAAACUAUCUAAUUGUCGUAAUGCCUGAUCACCAUUAGGAUCUUUAGAAAAGUAAUUUGAUGCAAUUUUGGUAGGAAGGUUCUCUGAAAUUGACGCUGGCUUCUUGUGAUUAAUAAUUGUAAUUUCUCUUAGGAUGAAUAUCACGUCUUCAGGAUUGCAUGGUUUUUCAAAGGAUUUUCAUAAAGCAUAAUGAGUCUUUCAUGUUUAGAUUUGAUCCGAACGUCCGGACGGGUUGCAUGUUAGAUAUACGUUCUAUGUUGGAGGUUCCAAGUAGAAUAUGAAUUAGGAAAAUCUAACCUUCAAAGUGGCAUGUGUAGAUUAUAAGUAAUUGGUAAAAAUUCAUAGGAUUGCUAGGUGAUGGUGGAACCCUAGUGCUUUCUUAAUUUUAUUCUCCCAAAACUGUUUUCUUUCUCUCUAGCUCUAAUAUUGCAGAUUGUUUAUUUUAAUUCAUUAAUUUCGUUUUUAUUUUAAUUAGGUUAUAAAAUCAAUCACUUCAAUUUCUACUUUACAAUAAUUAAAUGAAAUCUGAUUAGUUCGAAUUAUUUAAUAAUCCCUGUGGAGACGACCUUGCGAAAUCCGUUUAUACUACAAUAACCGUGUGAUUCUUGCAAGUAAAAUAUGAGAUUUAAGCCCGUUCACAUGAGUAGUAAAAAUCCUAUCACUUUACAUGUUUAAUUAAUAAUGCCUAAUGUUUUCAUCUAUGUAGGACCUGGUCUGCCAACAGUUUUCAACUGCGCAAGUCAUUUUAUAUAACUUUCUGUAAGUCCUUUUAUUGUUCUGAUCUUUAGCAAGAGGAUCCUUUAACAAAUCCAACUGUUUUAACAAAUCCAACUAUCAUUUGUUCACAUUAACUUCAAUUUUUCCAAUUUCUAACAGAUAAAUGAAAACACCUACUACCAGAAGAAAGGAGGAACAAAGUGAAGAAACAAACCCAUUAGAUUAAAUAAGGUCAACACUAUUCAUUGUUUCUUAUUCUAGAUAGGGUUCUAAAUAGAUUUAUAUAAGCAUAGGACUUAUAAUUUAUAUUUACAACUUUCUACAUGUUUUAUACAGUUUCAAAACCCGCAGCACCGCGCAGGCACUCUUGCUAGUGAGGAUCUAUAAAUCGACGGGUACUUCAUCAGAACUACUGACUACAAAGGGUAAUAUGCAAACCACCUAUUAAUCAUAGCAAGACACUCUUCAGGUUUGUACUCUGGAGCUGUGUGACCGGCUCCCUGCAUUAAGAGAAAAAUUUAGUCAGCUUUUGCUCAAGCAAACUCUAGUAUGUAUGAAAGUUAAGUUCAUGAAGGUUCUUGGCUUCUUGCCUUUAUAGUCGUGAAUGUCAACUUGUAAUUAGUUAUGUGUGAGUACUGCACACUGUAUCUAAAGGUAAAAACAUUAUAUGUGGUAAGCAUGUGAUAAUUGUACUCUAAAUUUAUUAUUAAACUCUGUAUGAACGGGGGAACAAAGAUUAUGUCGUAAGCGAAAAUUGAACACCAACCCUGCAAUCUGCCCACUGACGAACCAUGGCCUCCAACGACUGUCAACAGUCAAGUUAAGCGACUCUAUCCAAGCAAGAGUACCCACAUAUGGAACUACCAUAUCAUGAUCACCACUGUUAACAGAAAUUUUGAGUGCCGAAGCAACGAUCAUGCGAUAUAUACGGAAACACAUUGUGUCAGAUUCUGUUAGAAAACUUCCCUAACGAAAGAAAGUUGGACAGAUAUAUUACCUGUAAAUAAGAACUCUAUAGCCUUGUUUUAUGAGGUUCUCAUGAUAUACAAGACUAGAGGAAACAUCAUUUAUAUUUGAAUCUUCUAAGCUUUUAUUGCAUCUCAUCCAUUCUUCAAUGCUUCCCUAAUUGUCAUUUAAAAUCAGAAAAUUAAAGUCCCCUAAAAUAUGAGAACCUGAAGUGGAUUUUUAAAAUUUAACUAUCGAUUACCUCCUGAACAUGAAGAGCAUCUUGAACAGUUUUGUCAUUUGCCCAAAUUUCAGAGAAGAUAUAAUUGUAUUCCUACAUUAAAACAAGGCAGAUAUGAUUAGAGUGCACGUGUGUUCGCUUGUGCGUGCAUGCUGAGAGAUAUAUACCCGACACCAUGGCCUAGGAAGUCCAGAAGAAGUAAGGAGGAUAUUUUUAGAGUCCCUAUCACUGAGAUGGUCGGGAUUCCAUAUUGAUCCCAUUGAUUUUGGCGAAGUUACAGUACAUGAAGGUUCCAAUAUCUGUACAGAGCGUAUGUCUUCCGUGCACUGUGAAUUCAAAUGUAAAGUCAGU